UAUUGAAGCUAUUUUAAAGAUGAAGAUUUACUUUUAGGUAGGUCCCCUUUUCUCUACGGAAUGAAUGGUCAGGAAAAUCGUGUACCCACCUCUCAAUCUCUUUUCAAUUCCUAGGAAAGUAACUUUAUCAAAUUUUAUACCAGUUGAAUUUCUUCCAGAAUGUCUUCUCUCAUUCUUGAUCUCUCCCAGGUAGUAACCAGUUGGCAUCACUUUGUGUACCUCCCUCAUUCCAGCAGUGCUAGGAUUAAAGAAAGGAUUGACUUGAAUAUAUUCAAAUUCUUUUAAAUCAUCCUUAAGAAUCUCUAAAGAGAGAUUCCAUGUCUGGGGUCUUAUGUGUGAUUCCUGUGGACUUGGAGCAGCUGUGUAUCAACCAGUCCUAUGAUUUAAUGGUUUCUGGCUAUUAAUACUCAGAGUAGAGGACCAGGAGCGGCUGUGUAUCAACCAGUCCUAUGAUUUAAUGGUUUCUGGCUAUUAAUACUCAGAGUAGAGGACCAGGCCAGCCCCUUUGCCUGGUGUUCUGGGCAUAGUAAUAGGUUACUAAUCACAGGUUCUGGGUAAAUAAAAGCUUUGUUACAAAAUAAAAUAGCUUGGUCUUAAUAUUACAUCUAUUUAAGGAAAGGAACAGAUUUUGCAUCCAGUUCCCCCCAGAGAAACUUCCCCACAAUUCAAUCAUAGCUGAAAAGGAAACUAUCCUUGGAAUAAGCACUGUCCUGUCCUCUUUCUAAGGGGACUCCAAACAGGAAAUUGGUUUCACCUUUCAGGAACUUCUGGCACCUUGGUAGAUCUUUAAACUAUCACAUCACAGAAUUAUAGAUUUUAGAACUGGAAGGAACCCUGCAGAUCAAUCACUCAGCUCCUCAAGGCUUCUUUCUUUCAAGAGGACAGGAUAGCCAUCACUGAGGCGUGUGGGACCCCAGGACACAACUGAAAACGAGUCUUCGUGGUUUGAUGGUCCUGUGUCAGAAAAUCAGGGUGAUCUGACUACCUGGGUUUGGAGAUGAGCAUCUUGUUUUCUGGCAGAAUUGAGGAAAGCAAGACUGCUUUGGGCUCUGUGUAAAUUGUAAACUGGUUCUCAGAACAAACUCCAAGUCACAAAACAAUGAUGCUACACUAGCAAAGAGCUCACCUGGUACCAGAUCUUGAUUUCUGAUACCUCUGUGCAGUAACGGAAAACAAGGCUCCCUGGAGAAACGGCUGAUUCUAGAUCUAGGACUGGGGCAAGAAGUAUUCAAAAUUAGAAUGGAACAUCUUAUAGCAUCAUAAAUAAAGAAUUGCUGAAAAACAAGCAAAAACUACGUCGAUGGGGGAUAUUUCAAAGAGACACUGGAGCCACUUGAAGAGCUCCCAAUGGGCAAAGCUGGAAGAUUUGGAGUAAAAAAAAGAAAUCAAGUAAUAUUAGAUUACAAUCCGAAGUAUAAAAGAAAUAUCCAUGAAUCCACACUGAUAUAAAUUAUUAAAUAAAUGAAUAAAUCAGAGAUAAGUGACAAAUCUUCCUUGCAGAAGAAUUCCAAAUAAUUUACGUAGAUACACUGCCGGCAAGGAUGGGAGCAGGGGGCGGUGUAUAACUCCUCACUCUUCAAAUAUGAGUUAUGCACAGUGACUUCCUUCCAAAGAGUACAGUAUGGGAAGGGAGGAAAGGAGGGAGGGAAUAAUUUUACAUGGAGAAACCUGACAAACACUACACCAGCCAAUUCAUCAAGGUCAGCGUCAGCAAUUAUAAGCCAUGUUGAUUGUAUGUACCUUUGAUCUGAGGAGAUGAAAAUGGCUUCUUACCUCUGUGGUCUUCCUCCCACACCCCAGUCUAUUUAUGAGAAAAGUAUCAGACAAAUUUCAACGGAAGGGCAUCCUACAAAAGACUUCACCAGUAUUCCACAGAACUAUCAAGGAAAGUCUGAGAAAUUGCAGCAACCAAGAGUAGCCUCAGAAGAUAUGACAACUUAAUGUAAUGUAGUAUCCUGGAUGGGAUCAUGGAACAGAAAACGAUAAGCCUCUCUGCCAAGUGGUUACAGAUCUUUGAACCAACACUGCUGUUCACUAUGGAGGCUGACAUUUAAAUUCUUGUUGGUGGAAUGAGGGACUACAUCACAGGAUUCCCAUGAGAAUCAAGUACCAUGAAGGGGAAAGUACUUUGGAAAUUAUAAUGCACAGUUCAAAGUGGUCGUUGAAUGUUGAGCGAAUGGACAAACUAAUGAGUGAAUCAUCACAGAGAAGCAAAGCCAUCAGAAACUUGGAACCUUUUCUGCUGGUUCCCUACUUAUUGAAAAGAUGAUGCAGUCAUCCCAAAUGAACAUACUUGGGCAAUUUGCUAUCGAGGGGGUCCAUGCCUUAUAGUGGGGACUGAGCUGCUGAAGGCACUUUCCUGUGCAGCUCCAUUCUACUCAGUUUAGCACCUGUGGCCCCUGCAAUUAUUUAGUAACCGGACCAUCUCUCCUCCUGAAUGUGAGUGCCUGAAAGUCAGGAGCUACUUCUACUUUCCUUGAUUCAAAACCCUUAUGUUUGGGCUUCUCUGAUGACCACGUUAAACGUUUAAAUCCCCUGCGAACAUGUAUUAUAACCUAUACAACCAAAAGGAAGACAGAGAAGGAAGAGGGUAGAGAAGAAAGAAAGAGACCAAGCUGCCAUGCCUGCCAGCAUCGGACUGCACUCCUUCAUCCAGCCAACAAAUCAACGCAAACCCAAGGUGAGGCAUGGGAGUCAGAAAAACGAGGUGUGGGAAGAGCCACAGGGCCGAGUAGAGAGCCCAAGAUGAGAGUUAGGGCAGGAAACCUCUCUAGUGGCUCCUUUACCAUGUCAUUCUUUAACUCAUGAGUCACUCUCCACACCCCACCGUGCACACCAGGACUCAACCGCCUUACCACAUCUGGCCAGAUGCUGCAAACGCUGCCUCCAGAGGCUAUGACAGCUCGACACGGUCUUCUCCCCGUUGUAUUUUAGAUCUUUCUGUGCACCGUUUUUCAAGUGGUCAAUUCUCCGCUGGAGGGAAAGACAAGCCUGGUACAAGACCAAGCCGGUGAUCAUUAGCCAGCUCUGUGCCUUGAGCAAUGCAUGUGUAGUUAUACUAAUCAGUUGAUUGAUGCAGGUUCAGUUGGGAAAUACUACAUUUUAAGGAAGUGCAACCUUUAACUUCUGAGUUGGAGCAGGCAGCAUGCCAACGGAAGGAGGACUGGAUUAAACUAGAGAACAAUUCUUUGAGCCAUGGGCAUUGAGCUGGGCACAAACCAAGCCGGGUCCCGGGAUUCUCGGAGGAUCCAGGAAGAAGUGGGCAAGCAGGUAAGGGUCGGGCACCACAGCAAAUACCAGCUAGGUGAUCUUGCCCCCUCCUGUGUGCCAAGUCCAGGUUUGGGCAUGUCAGUUACCUCUACUGAACUUUUUUGCACACUGCUGCCUUUCAUAUUUAAUCAAAAUUUAUAACCCAUGGCUCAGAAACCUGGAAUAUUGGUGUCUUUAGUCUUGAAAGACUCAAUUAGCCCUUGUGCAGAGUUGGCCUCUCUCUCUUCCUCAGCAGGGUUGAAAAACUCGUUUCUUUUUUUUUUUAAUGUAAAGAUAAAACCCAUCACCCACAUUCCAGAAUUAGCCUGAUAAGAUUAGGUAGGAUCAGAAAAUCGUAAAAUUGUUGGGUUCAGAAGGUCUUUAGAGAUCACACCAUAUCUGAAUCUCCAACAUAACACCCCUAACAAAGUGUCCAUCAUAUUCCUUCUUAGAUAUCUCCAGGCUGGGAAUUUUCUAUCUCCCAAGGUGGCCCAUUCCAUGGUUGGUCAGAUUUAGAAGUUGGGUGUUUUAAACUUAUUUAUUGGUUCAAUUAUAAGGAGGAAUUUAUCACAGCAAGACAGCACUCACCAAAGACAUUUGGGGCUGUGUGUAGGUUGGUGACCUCAGUGGAUGCAAACAGGAUCCAUGACCACAGACUAGACCCCAAAUCCCAACUCAUAUAAGUCCUUGGUCAGCAGAGUGAACAGAAAAAUAUUGGAUGUUGCACACAGGGCCAGGACUAGAGAUAUAUUUACAAAUGAUAGACUUAGGUGUUUAUGAUAAAGUUUGUGUGAAAAUCCUUCAUUGGUCACAGAGAAAGGAACUUGAACUGAUCUCCUUUGACUUUCACUUUUAAGAGAACAUAUGAAAUUCAGGUCAGUAUCAUAGUUUUUCAGACACCAGAUGGACAUUUAAUCUUUCCCACCAGCUUAGUAAUUUCUAUAGGUUUUCUUCCUCUUGAACCAAUACCUAGGUCAGAAGAUCAUAGACUUGGGCGCCUAGUACAGUUUUAGGGCUAGAAGAUUCCCAGAAGAAAUCUUGUCUGAUUUCUUCAUCUUCAAACUAGGAAACUAAGGCCCAGAGAGAGGAAGCGACUGACCCAAGGUCACAGAGCCCUUUUGGGAUGGAGUCAGGACUAAAUCACUGGUCUCCCUACUCCUAGUAGAGUACUCUGCUCUUCAUUAUCAAUGGUGAUAUGCUGAGUAUGUACAAAGAGUGAUGAUCUAUCUAGUGUGCUUUGGGACAGGUGCUACAGAAAGUUUUAUGGAAUAGAGGAACGAGUGUGCCUCUCCCGUCUCCCCAUGUGGCAACCUUGUGGAGGAAGGAUUGCUAAAAUGCCUCUUAAGAUGUCAAUACACGAGAACAACAACAAAAAAUACGCUGUGAACACUGUCUAAUUGUAUCUGCAUGCAAAUAUAUCCAAUGGUCUUCAUCAUAAGACCUGCUAGUUAUCGUACAUCUACUAUGCUCCAAGCACUUUACAUAACUUAUUAGUUCUAAUCCUCCCAAAGACUCUGAGAGGUUAACGUUAUUGUUUUUCAUAUGAAUAAACUGAGGCUCAGAUGACACAUGGCCAGUGUGGCAGAGUCAAGAUUUGGGACCGAGUCUUCCUGGCUCCAAAGCCUGUGUUGUUUUCACCAUAGCCACCACCUUCUCUAGAUGAUCUCAAACCCACUCCUGUGUCCACCCACCAACAAGCCCCAAAUAUUUUCUGUGGCUGGUCCUGGUGUGGAAUCAAGUUGAGAUUUUUUUUGUUUUUUAAUUCUUUGACGAUUCAACUUAGUUAUCUCCUCAGGCAGUUUGGGAAGUAUCUCCCCUUUCACUGGUGUGUUCUUUUAUUUAAGGCAUCUUGUAGAAAACAGGGCAAAGUAAGACCCUAGCAUCUGGUGAUAAGUUGCAAUGUUUGAUAUGUAAACAUAAAUAAGUAGAAAUAAUAACAUUC
Long non-coding RNA from Balaenoptera acutorostrata (minke whale), 5191 nucleotides. RefSeq lists it as uncharacterized. The transcript has 7 exons. The record is from RefSeq and is a predicted model, not a curated record. NCBI's taxonomy places the organism in Eukaryota, Metazoa, Chordata, Mammalia, Artiodactyla, Balaenopteridae.